Molecule: unclassified non-coding RNA, 859 nt
Filed under: Caenorhabditis elegans
Lineage: Eukaryota; Metazoa; Nematoda; Chromadorea; Rhabditida; Rhabditidae
Description: Non-coding transcript of protein-coding gene pqn-70
Source: RNAcentral
AAACUUCGUCGAAAUGGGUUCAUCUGGAAUGGGAGUUGAUGCGAAUGGAAAGCCAAUCAAGAGACAGCCUACAACUAAUAAUAACAACAAGAAAGCUGGAAACAACAGCAACAACCAGAAAAAAGGAAAUAAUCAAAACAACAAAAAUAAUAAGAACCAGAAUGGAGGAAAUCGCAACCAAAAUCGCCAACAUCACCAGCCUCCAAUGAUGCAAAUGGUUCCACCCUUCGGCCCAAUGGGACCAGGAGGACCAGGAGGACCAGGAUUCAUGGGCCCACCGAAUGGAAACAUGAACUUCUUCAACGGACAAAAUCGUCGUAAUGGCAGUGGAAAGGAUACAAUGGACCAUCGGCUAACAAUGUGGGACAAGGAGCUAUUGGAAAUAACAUGAACGGCGCUCAACCAUUUGCUGGACCAGAACCAUCAAUGGAAGUUCCUGGAUUCGGAAAGAACAGCAACAUUCAUGAACUUUUCGGAAAGAUGAUCUGGAGAAAAAUGGAACAGAUCAAUGACGCCGCUCUUGUCGAUCAACUCCAGAAUCGGAUAAUGAACCUGAUCCAUGAUGCCCUGGCUAGUCAGAACGAUAAGCAACAACAACAACAACAGCAGCAACAUCAACAAGGAUUCAAUCAACAAAGAGGAAUGCCGUUCGGAGGACCAGGAAACCAAAAUGGACCAUUCGGAAACAACGCUGGAUUCCAACGUUUUUAAAAGAAUAAAAUUCUGAUCUCUUCUGUUCAUCCCUUUAAAUGUUAUUUUGCUUCUGAAAUUUCGAAAAAAUGUAAUUCUAAUCUCCGAACUUUUGUCAGUCUGAUUCUCUCUUACACAUGUGUUUUAUAAUAAAUCCGAUCCGUCCCAA